GUAGGUAUAGCUCAGUAGCAGAGCGUGUGCUUAGCGUGCACAAGGUCCUGGGUUCAAUCCCCAGUUCCUCCA
Camelus ferus (Wild Bactrian camel) is the source of this 72-nucleotide transfer RNA. It matches the Rfam family "tRNA". From Rfam's summary of the family: Transfer RNA (tRNA) molecules are approximately 80 nucleotides in length. Their secondary structure includes four short double-helical elements and three loops (D, anti-codon, and T loops). Lineage: Eukaryota; Metazoa; Chordata; Mammalia; Artiodactyla; Camelidae. The record is from Rfam.